This 525-nucleotide ribosomal RNA is filed under the name uncultured bacterium. RNAcentral describes it as "partial 16S ribosomal RNA". It matches the Rfam family "Bacterial small subunit ribosomal RNA", at positions 340 to 865 of the family's 1533-position model. The record is from RNAcentral.
UACGGGAGGCAGCAGUGAGGAAUAUUGGGCAAUGGAGGNNACUCUGACCCAGCCAUGCCGCGUGCAGGAAGACGGCCCUAUGGGUUGUAAACUGCUUUUAUAUANCAAGAAACCCCAUCACGUGUGAUGGCUUGACGGUAGUAUAUGAAUAAGGNCCGGCUAACUCCGUGCCAGCAGCCGCGGUAAUACGGAGGGUCCGAGCGUUAUCCGGAUUUAUUGGGUUUAAAGGGUGCGCAGGCGGUAUAAUAAGUCAGUGGUGAAAUCCCGAGGCUCAACCUNGGAACUGCCAUUGAUACUGUUAUUCUUGAGUAUAGACGAAGUAGGCGGAAUGUAGCAUGUAGCGGUGAAAUGCUUAGAUAUGAUACAGAACACCGAUUGCGAAGGCAGCUUACUAGACUAUUACUGACGCUAAUGCACGAAAGCGUGGGGAGCGAACAGGAUUAGAUACCCUGGUAGUCCACGCCGUAAACUAUGAUUACUCGAUGUUGGCGAUACACNNUCAGUGUCNAAGCGANCNCNNNAAGU